UUUAGGCUCAGUAACACGUCGAUAAUCUGCCUUUCGGGUCUGGGAUAACCUUGGGAAACUGAGGCUAAACCCGGAUAUGGGAUUUGUCCUGGAACGGUAUAUCCUUGAAAAGUAAUGCCCGAAGAUGAGUCGGCGGCUGAUUAGGUAGUUGGUGGGGUAAUGGCCCACCAAGCCUUAGAUCAGUAGGGGCCUUGAGAGAGGGAGCCCCGAGAAGGGCACUGAGAUACUGGCCCUAGCCCUACGGGGUGCAGCAGGCGCGGAAACUCUACAAUGCACGAAAGUGUGAUAGGGGAACCCUAAGUGCCUAUGUUUUACAUAGGCUUUUGCCAAGAGUAAAUAUCUUGGCGAAUAAGUGGUGGGUAAGACUGGUGCCAGCAGCCGCGGUAACCCCAGCGCCACAAGUGGCAGCCACAAUUAUUGGGCCUAAAGCGUCCGUAGCCGGUUAGGUAAAUCCUUUGUGAAAUCAUCGUGCUCAACACGAUGGCGUGCAGGGGACACUGCCUGACUUGGGACCGGGAGGAGUCGGGGGUAUUCCAGGGGUAGCGGUAAAAUGUUAUAAUCCUUGGAGGACCACCUGUGGCGAAGGCGCCCGACUAGAAUGGAUUCGACGGUGAGGGACGAAAGCCAGGGGAGCGAACCGGAUUAGAUACCCGAGUAGUCCUGGCUGUAAACGCUGCGAGCUAGGUGUUGCGUAUUCUUAGAGAGUACGCGGUGUCGAAGCGAAGGUGUUAAGC
Molecule: ribosomal RNA, 734 nt
Filed under: uncultured euryarchaeote
Lineage: Archaea; Methanobacteriati; Methanobacteriota
Description: bacterial SSU rRNA
Rfam family: Archaeal small subunit ribosomal RNA
Source: RNAcentral